Long non-coding RNA from Oreochromis niloticus (Nile tilapia), 1582 nucleotides. RefSeq lists it as uncharacterized. Lineage: Eukaryota; Metazoa; Chordata; Actinopteri; Cichliformes; Cichlidae. The transcript is spliced from 4 exons. The record is from RefSeq and is a predicted model, not a curated record.
UAAGAGCCGUGUGUGUCCCUCGAAGUAUCUUUGAAAGAUCAAGAAAGAUGAAAAAACCUUCCCGCCGGUGUUGAAGUUACAACUUGUGACGUAAUCUGUUGUCACCCGCCCUGAUUGGCUAACUACGAUUGUUGUGUUUCGUGAUUGGACUUCCUUGUGUUGAUUUUACGUUUGCUUCAGUGUUUUUUUUUUUUGUUUGUUUGUUAUUGUUUUCUGGGUGAACUCGUCUAAUUUUAAUUAUGGAAUUAUCAUUACUAUUUUAUAAGUCUCAAACGUAAAAUUUAAGGUUUAUAAAAUCAGGGCUUUGGAGUUGACGUCACGCCGCGUUGCAUUGUGGGAGCAUGCCAGCAUUUUUGCAGGCCACGAAUCAAAACGGACACUCGUUUGGAAGGAAGAUUGCUACGAACCGUACUUAAAAGCAGCUCAAAAGAAAAAGAACUUUAUAGAAUCAAAUUGUGUCGGAUACGAAGACACGGUACUUGCAAAAAAAUAGCGUGCAUUAGAAAUGUGGACCCGUAUGAAAUAACGGCAGUGGAGCAGAAACCCGAAGACCAACCGGUAUUGACGUAGCCUGAUAUAUUUUCGUACCUGUGGGGUCAGCGCAUAAACGGCGUACCGGUUUCGCAAUUAUAAAUCUCUGGAGGCGCACAUCCGACUAACCAAUGGUUGGGUACAGAUUUGGCUAUUUUUAGACUCCACGUUGUGAAUACGUCCUCAUUCAAACAAAGGGGUUGGAACCAGCUAUUAAAAUGGUCAUCACCAGACCAAGGCUCAAUCGAGUCAUGGAAGGAGGAAUCAGAAAUAAACUGCACAACGACUUGGCUGGUGACCCACUUCACAUCUCCUUGCUAAACACUGGAGAAUCAUGCAAAGACUUUGAUGUAACAGACUGACCUAUAACAGCAACCGUGGGCAUCAGUGAUGAGAAGACCUGUGUUGAGACAGCAUUGUGAGUACAGGCUGGACCCCACAGAGUGUGUGCAUGUCUGCAGUGAGGAUGAACUCUUCCACCUUGAAAGUACAGACGACAUGGCAAAUAAGAUUGAGACAGCAACAGGAGAACAGGCAGCUGACCAGGAAUGGCAUCAGCUCCACAGGCCAAGAUUACAUCUUCAUAUUUAAGAGGUUUGUUAUAUAAAGGGCGUGAAACUGUGCAGAGAGAAUCCUCAAAGGAACGUGACAGACUGCAGAUGUGAGCACAGGGACAGACAUGGAGUUUAACGCAGCUGGAGAAAACUGCAAAUUGAAAAACUAACGAUAGGCCUCAUGGCCUCGUUGUCCACCCUGACGCUCCCUGGCUUGGUUCCUCACCAGAUGGGUUGAUCUUUGAUCCAUCUGCACUGCCACCGUUUGGACUGCUUGAGAUAAGGUGUCUUUAUGUGAGGAAUUAUGUUCACUUCAGAUACCUUCAACUAAGAAUGGCACCCUGUCUCUCUGUAAAAGUCAGUUGUACCGAUUAUGUUGACACAAAGUUAACAGCAACAUCAGAGAGAGCGUGGACUGGUGUUACUUUCGUGUUCACACGCUGAUGCACUUCUCUCUUACAGUUUUUUCUGAAUGCUUAAACCCUAACUGUGAUUCU